This 1296-nucleotide ribosomal RNA is filed under the name Vibrio crassostreae 9ZC88. RNAcentral describes it as "bacterial LSU rRNA". It matches the Rfam family "Bacterial large subunit ribosomal RNA", at positions 176 to 1527 of the family's 2925-position model. The record is from RNAcentral. Lineage: Bacteria; Pseudomonadati; Pseudomonadota; Gammaproteobacteria; Vibrionales; Vibrionaceae.
GAGGCAAACCGGGGGAACUGAAACAUCUAAGUACCCCGAGGAAGAGAAAUCAACCGAGAUUCCGAAAGUAGCGGCGAGCGAAAUUGGAUUAGCCCUUAAGCUUUUAAUGAUGCAGGUGAAGAGUCUGGAAAGUCUCGCAAUAAAGGGUGAUAGCCCCGUAACCGACACAUCAUAAUCAGUGAAAACGAGUAGGGCGGGACACGUGAUAUCCUGUCUGAAUAUGGGGGGACCAUCCUCCAAGGCUAAAUACUACUGACUGACCGAUAGUGAACCAGUACCGUGAGGGAAAGGCGAAAAGAACCCCUGUGAGGGGAGUGAAAUAGAACCUGAAACCGUGUACGUACAAGCAGUAGGAGCACCUUCGUGGUGUGACUGCGUACCUUUUGUAUAAUGGGUCAGCGACUUAAUUUUAGUAGCAAGGUUAACCGUUUAGGGGAGCCGUAGGGAAACCGAGUCUUAACUGGGCGUACAGUUGCUAGGAUUAGACCCGAAACCAGGUGAUCUAGCCAUGGGCAGGUUGAAGGUUGAGUAACAUCAACUGGAGGACCGAACCGACUAAUGUUGAAAAAUUAGCGGAUGACUUGUGGCUAGGGGUGAAAGGCCAAUCAAACCUGGAGAUAGCUGGUUUCUCCCCGAAAGCUAUUUAGGUAGCGCCUCGGACGAAUACUACUGGGGGUAGAGCACUGUUAAGGCUAGGGGGUCAUCCCGACUUACCAACCCUUUGCAAACUCCGAAUACCAGUAAGUACUAUCCGGGAGACACACGGCGGGUGCUAACGUCCGUCGUGGAGAGGGAAACAACCCAGACCGCCAGCUAAGGUCCCAAAGUAUAGCUAAGUGGGAAACGAUGUGGGAAGGCUCAGACAGCCAGGAUGUUGGCUUAGAAGCAGCCAUCAUUUAAAGAAAGCGUAAUAGCUCACUGGUCGAGUCGGCCUGCGCGGAAGAUGUAACGGGGCUAAGCUAUACACCGAAGCUGCGGCUACGUACCUUAGGGUAUGUGGGGUAGGGGAGCGUCUGUAAGCCGUUGAAGGUGGUCUGUAAGGGCUGCUGGAGGUAUCAGAAGUGCGAAUGCUGACAUGAGUAACGAUAAAGGGAGUGAAAAACUCCCUCGCCGGAAGACCAAGGGUUCCUGUCCAACGUUAAUCGGGGCAGGGUAAGUCGACUCCUAAGGCGAGGCCGAAAGGCGUAGUCGAUGGGAAACGGGUUAAUAUUCCCGUACUUCUUACAAUUGCGAUGGGGGGACGGAGAAGGCUAGGUGGGCCUGGCGACGGUUGUCCAGGUUCAAGUACGUAGGCGG